UACAGAGGGUGCAAGCGUUGUUCGGAAUUAUUGGGCGUAAAGCGCGUGUAGGCGGCAUUGCAAGUCGGGUGUGAAAGCCCUCAGCUUAACUGAGGAAGUGCGCCCGAAACUGCAGUGCUUGAGUACCGGAGAGGAUGGCGGAAUUCCCCAAGUAGAGGUGAAAUUCGUAGAUAUGGGGAGGAACACCGGUGGCGAAGGCGGCCAUCUGGACGGUAACUGACGCUGAGACGCGAAAGCGUGGGGAGCAAACAGG
RNAcentral lists this ribosomal RNA (253 nucleotides) under uncultured bacterium. RNAcentral describes it as "partial 16S ribosomal RNA". It matches the Rfam family "Bacterial small subunit ribosomal RNA", at positions 524 to 776 of the family's 1533-position model. The record is from RNAcentral.